CGGUAAUACGUAGGGGGCAAGCGUUGUCCGGAUUCAUUGGGCGUAAAGGGUACGCAGGCGGUUGAAAAAGUCAGAUGUUAAAUUCCGGGGCUCAACCCCGGCCCGCAUCUGAAACUUUUCGGCUUGAGUUAAGGAGAGGAAAGUGGAAUUCCUAGUGUAGCGGUGAAAUGCGUAGAUAUUAGGAGGAAUACCAGUGGCGAAGGCGACUUUCUGGACUUAAACUGACGCUGAGGCACGAAAGUGUGGGGAGCAAACAGGAUUAGAUACCCUGGUAGUCCACACCGUAAACGAUGAGUGCUAGGUGUCGGGGGUCAAACCUCGGUGCCGCAGCUAACGCAUUAAGCACUCCGCCUGGGGAGUACGUACCCAGUAUGAACUCAAAGGAUUGACGGGGACCCGCNAAGCAGCGGACAUGUGGUUUAUNC
RNAcentral lists this ribosomal RNA (425 nucleotides) under uncultured bacterium. RNAcentral describes it as "bacterial SSU rRNA". It matches the Rfam family "Bacterial small subunit ribosomal RNA", at positions 518 to 951 of the family's 1533-position model. The record is from RNAcentral.